UAACAAAGCUACAUGGGUUUGUACCGAGAUCUAGAAUCCUGAACGAAAUGAUAAAAACUUUUCUGAUUAGUUGUGUGACAAAUAGCUAUUUUAGCAGGAUUAAAAAAACUCUGACAAAUGAACUUAACUGCAACAGCAUGUUAAAUCUGGAAAGUAUAUUUCCUACUUUACAGAACAGGAUUAAAAUGCUUAGAAAUAUGUGGGUUCUGAAGUAUGAUAUUAUAGAGAUAUCAUGUGACGUUUGUAGGAUUGGGUUGCCAAUUUGUUGAUGUGCCUCGCAUACUGCGGAAAACCAGUUGAGAAGUUACAAACAGAGAGAUGAAUCGGUACACUCUGCUUUCACGCCUUUUGAUGGGCAAAAUGCCUCUUAUUUUGACUAUAUUUUUUUGUUCUGCGAUUAUCCUACUCCUAAUCACAAAAAUGCAGCCACCUGUUCUGCUAUGAAUCCACGGUUAUCUCGCUAAUACAGCAGAGAUGGGGUACUGCCCUUUAUGUGCCAUUAGGUCACACUUAAUUUGAUAAAUUUGCACGACCACUGUCAGCAGAGUCUUAUGCAGAACUAGUUGUAAUAUAUCCUAAACAUUCUUGGAUUGCAACUAAGGUCCUAAUAGCAAAAACUAAAAAUAGAACAGAAACCUAGGUCCUGGUAGCCAGGUGGGUGAGCGGAAGAAGUUGGUUUCCAAGAAGUUGUUGAUGUAUAAAGGAAAUAUAACGACUUAGGAGGACCCUGCAAUAUCUUUGGCAUGGCAAUUUAACUUCCAUUUUAUUCCUUUUUCUUUUUGUGUUUUCCAGGAGAAAUACAACAGCAUAAAGAUGCGCAACCCACCAUAUAUUUCCUUUUCAUCAAAAACAUUCACUUCAAACUACAGAUCAUAAUAGGGCAAAUUAUUUGACUUUUAAGGAUCAAAUAGAGGGGCCAAAAGGUUACAGAUCGGGAUGGUGAAAUUAAAGUAAGGCUUCCCAACUGCUUGUGAAUAUGUAAAUUGAUAUGCCAUUACUGUAUCAAUCUCUUGGCUUUCUUUUUCUGGUGUGAGAAGGUAGAAUAUUAAACAUCUUAGUUAUGUCAAAACAAAGAAAAAAAAUCAUGUGUGGUGCCAGAAAAAGAAAUAAAUAAAUGUCAACUAAAGGAUGCAAAUCAACUGUUUCAGAUAAACGAUUUUGUGCGUCCAACUAUCUACCAGCUGGACACUUUCUAGGGCCGAGUUCCCAUGCUUUUUGGACUUGAAACAUUGUUCCUACAUGUUACCAUCUAAUCACUUCUAUCUUCUCGAAAUAAAUUUUAUUUUAAUCUUCGAUAUUAGAAAACCUUGAAUUAGCAUCACCUAGAGGAUUUAAAAACAUAACGUGUGGGUAUAAUUCAGAAAAUGCUAGUGAUAUUUCCAACACACCGACCAUGUGAUGGUGCCUAGGUUAAAGUAGACACCAGAUCAUUUGGUCAUAAUGGUCAUUUUCAGAUAGAUUUUGUUAUUUGGGGACUGUUUAUAACUCUAAUCCACCUAACUCGCUCGAAACUUUUUUUACAUGGGAAAAUUCAGUCUACAUGAUUAAAAAAAUGUUGCUAGUUUAUAUAUAUAUAUAUAUAUAUAUAUAUAUAUAUACAUAAACAGAGAAAGAAACACGUCAAAGAAAUCAACACAAUCCCACGCAAUGAAUCAGGUGCUAACCUCAUCGCUGCCCCUUCCGAAGACACACAGAAGAAAAACAAUUUCCAGUGUAAUGCAUGUAUAUUUACACAAAUGGAAUGUAGAACAGAAGUGUUGUUUGUUAAUGGAUUAUUUCAUAUUUGCAUUUGAGGAAAAAGAACAAUUGUCAUUCUCUUUCUUUAUACAAACAACAUGAAACAGCGGAAUCCACUACCGAAUAUUGUAAGAUAACGAAAACUAAUAAUGCAUCGCUCAUCCUGAAGUAAACAAAGAGGAAAGAUGAUAUAUUGUUUCACAAUUGAUGGUAACAACGAGGGAAUUCCCAAGAAAAGAUAUCAAAUCAAGAUCGUAAUUGUGGGUGCUCCCACUUCAAGAACCACCCUAUAUCCAUUCAAGAUGCAACAAAUCUAAGAUUAGGUGCGUUCAAUAUCAAUCGACCAUCAAAAUCCUAAUCUCCCUAAAUAUCAACAUUACGAUAACUUAAAGGAACAAAAAACUGAGAUCCUAUUUGUAGGCCGUCACUCUACUAAAUCCGCCUGAUAUCUUGGCAACAGAUCAAGGAUUAGAUAUUGUUAGAGCUAGCCCCAAGAAAUUUACCAAAUGAUAAUUUUGGCAACCCAACAAAGACAUAAAACGGAAAAGAUCUUCCUAUCCGUAGCUACCUCCCGUAAAACCUCAUCAGAGAGAUUUAGAAUAAUCCUAGAUCGGGCCUUCUUAUCCAUACCCGCAAGAUCUUCCUUUGACAUACCAUCUGUACCAUCUGGAAUGUUCUCAAUCAACUCUGUCUUGGACCAGAAUGAUCUCCAUCUUGAGUGGCAACGUGCCGAAGUUCGAAUUUCUCGACAACAAUCUUUGUUAUUGUUAUCAUUGCCAAAAGAUCCCGAAACUAGACUCUGAUACCAGUUUGUUAGAACUAGCCCCAGAAAAUUUACCAAAGGGUAAUUUUGGCAACCCAACAAAGACAAUAAAGCGAAAAAGAUAAAAGCAACAAGAACGCCAGAUUUACGUGGUUCGGUCAAUUGACCUACAUCCACGGACGAAAGAUGAGCAAAUCACUACUAUAAAAUAAGGACUAUUACAAAUACCUUAGGAAGAUGUUCCUAGGCCAUAAAACACCCGAAUCUAUUAAACAAGAAAAACCCAAACUAUAAGCCCAAACUAUUUAACUGAGUGUGGACUUAAACCCAAAGCAAACACUUAGGGUUUUCUUGUGGUGCAUCUGACUUCAAAGCCCAAACCCUUAUUUAUAGUUCCAAUAGGAGAUAACAAGUCUGAUUUUCCCGAUGUGGGACUAUGGGACUUGCCAAACUAACAAAUCUCCACCUUGGUAUGUCCCAAUAAAACUUGCUCCACCUUCUUCAUAAAAGCCCCAACGAGCAAUCACCAACAAUAAACACCAACCAAGUCCAAGCACUGCUUGAACUUAUAAACCGGAAGAGGCUUCGUAAGUAUAUCAACUGGAUUGUCCUUCGUAUGAAUUUUCUGAACAAGGACUUUCCCCUCAGCAAUGGUAUCCCAUUUGCAUCCAAUAAUUUUAUUACCCGAAGGCGGCUUCACAAGAUCCCAAGUUCUAUUCUGAUGGAGAGAUUAUAUUUUUUCAUUCAUCGCAAUCAACCACUUAGCGGAAUUAUCAUAAGAAACUGCAUCUGAGUAGGAAGUAGGCUCACCAACUUCACUUGUUUCUUCUAUAACAGACAAAGCAUAUGCAACCAAAUUUGCAUAUCUUUGUGGUGGUCGAAUAUCUCUCCGUGGUCUAUUAUUGGCUAUGGAAUAUUGCUCUUCCUCUAGAUCAUCUUCGUUAGUAGACUCGGGACCAUCUACUGGCAUCUUUUGAGUAGAAGAGUUCAACUUAAAAAAAUCUGAACUACCAAUCUCAAGCUCCACAUGCUUCUGCGCAUUAUCAUUUGUAUAACUAGUAGAUUCCUCUUUGGAAGAUAACAUAGACAAUUAAUCAAAAGUAACAUCUCUACUGAUUACAAAUUUUGGGGAUUUGGGAUCAGAACACCAUAAUCUGUAUCCUUUCACCCCAGAAGCAUAUCCAAGGAAAAUAUAUUUUUUAGCUCGAGGCUCUAAUUUUCCUUCAUUUAUAUGCAUAUAUGCUGAACAUCCAAAAAAUUUUAAAUUAGAGUAAUCGGCAGGAGUACCUGACCAAACUUCCUCCGGAGUUUUAAAGUUAAGUGCUACAGACGAAGCGCGGUUGACAACGUAACAGGCCAUAUUAAUCGCCUUUGCCCAAAAGUCCUUUGUCAACCCUGCAUUUGAGAUCAUACACCUUGCUCUCUCCAAGAGUGUUCUGUUCAUAUGUUCGGCCACACCAUUUUGCUGAGGCGUUAUCUUAACAGUGCGAUGCCGAACGAUUCCUUCAUUUUUACAUAAUUCAUCAAAGUCACAUUCACAAAAUUCCAUGCCAUUAUCUGUUCGAAGCCGCUUAAUCUGUUUACAUGUUUGCUUCUCAAUUAAAGUCUUCCAUUGUUUAAAGGUUAGAAAAACAUCAUUUUUAUGCUUCAGAAAAUAAACCCAAAUUUUUCUGGAAUAAUCGUAAAUGAAAGUCAACAUAUACUUGGCACCAACCUUAGACUGAACAUGAGCUAGACCCCAAAGGUCUGAAUGAAUAUAGUCAAGAGUACCUUUUGUUUUGUGAACUGUCGGAGAAUUGAAGCUGACUCUUUUCUGCUUUCCAAAAACGCAGUGUUCACAAAAAUCCAGUGGCCCAGUACUCUGUCCGCAAAGUAGACCACUUUUGCUCAAUAUGCUCAAACAUUUUUCACUCAUAUGACCCAAACGCAUAUGCCAUAAUUUGGUGAUGUCAGAAUCAGAUAAUGAUGAUGACGAGAGUGCAACUAAGCCCGUGACAGUAGUUCCCUGCAAAAUAUAUAAGCUACCAGACUUACAAGUUUUCAUAACAACAAGAGCACUUCUAGAAACUUUCAUAACUCCACCUUCAGUUGUAUAUUUACACCCAAGGGCCUCUAGGGUGCCUAAAGAGAUGAGAUUCUUUUUUAAAUCAAGAACAUGUCUAACGUUAGUGAGCGUCCUCACAAUACCAUAAUGCAUUUUAAUUAAGAUUGUUCAUCUACCAACAACAUCACAUGCUGCAUUAUUGCCCAUCAAAACAAUUCCACCAUUACAAGAUUCAUAUGUAGAAAACAAAUCUCUAUUAGGACACAUAUGAUAAUAACAACCCGAAUCUAAAAUCCAUUCAUUUUUAGACCUCGUCCUGUCAUCAGUAGCAAAGAAAAUAUUUCCAUCAUUCUCAUCAGUUGCUAUACUAGCUUCAGCAAACUCAGUAAUUUUCUCAACAAUUUAUUCCUUUUGCUUUAAUUUAUUUUUAAUUUAAAGCAAUCAGCCUUAAUAUGCCCCAUUUUAUGACAAUAUCUGCAUUCCAAAUUUCUAUGUCUGGAUUUAGAUUUAGAUUUAGAUCUACUACUAUCAAAUUCUCUUUUAUCCAUUCUACCACUAACAUCCAGACUCUCAACCUGAUUCUCUCUACUUUCCCCAGUGAUAUCUUUGUCUAUCUGCUCCUUAGAUUUUAAUACAGAUUUAAUUUCCUAAUACAAAAUUGUUUCUUUUCCAUAAAUCAUAGUAUCACGAAAAUGCUUAAAAGAUUGGGGAAGAGAACACAAAAAUAACAGGACUUUAUCCUCAUCAUCAAUUUUUGCAUCUAUAUUUUCCAAAUCCAUAACCAAGGAAUCAAACUUAUCAAGAUGUAAGAGUAUAGAUGUACCUUCAGUCAUCCGAAGCAUAUACAAACUCUACUUUAAGUAGAGGCGAUUCUCUACUGUCCUCUUCAUAUACAAGGCUUUAAACUUAUCUCACAUGCUCUUAGCCGUAGUCUCCGUAGCUACCUCCUGUAAAACCUCGUCGGAGAGAUUUAGAAUAAUACUGGAUCGGGCCUUCUUAUUCAUACCCGCAAGAUCUUCCUUUGACAUACCAUCUGAAAUGUUCUCAGUUCCCUGUAGUGCCACAUACCGAAGUUGACAUUUCUGUCGAAUUUCUCGACAACAAUCUUUGUUAUUGUCAUCAUUGCCAAAAGAUCCAGAAACUAGGCUUUGAUACCAGUUUGUUAGAACUAGCCUCAGGAAAUUUACCAAUGGAUAAUUUUGACAACCAACAAAGAUAAUAAAACAAAAAAGAUAAAAGCAACAAAAACAUCUUAUUUACGUGGUUCGGUCAAUUGACUUACACACACGGACGAAAGAGGAGCAAAUCACUACUAUAAAAGAAGGACUAUUACAAAUGCCUUAGGAAGAUGUUCCUAUGCCAUAAAACACCCAAAUCUAUUAAACAAGAAAAACCCAAACUAUAAGCCCAAACUAUUUAACUGAGUGUGGACUUAAACCCAAAGCAAACACUUCGGGUUUUCUUGUGGUGCAUCUGACUUCAAAGCCCAAACCAUUAUUUAUAGUUCCAAUAGGAAAUAACAAACCUGAUUUUCUCGACGUGGGACUAUGAAACUUACCAAACUAAUUACCCACGAAGAAGACAUCGCUCACAAGAAAAUCAAAUCAAGAUUCUAAUUAUUUGUGCUCAAACUUCGAGAUCCGUUGGACAUCCACUCAACAUAUCUUAUACAGGAUCUUACACUCGGAACCUUAACUUCCCGAGUACCAAGAAGACAUCACCGUAGGACAAAACCAAGAUCCUAAUUGUUGGCGCUCGCACUAUGAAAAUCGCACGAUAGAUCUAUGAAGCUAACCAAGCGAAACCCUCCUUUCCCGAAGAAACGAACAAGAAAUCGUCCACAAGACAUCAAGACAUCGAGCCAGACAGACAAGCUCAUCGAGAUUACCUCGAAGAUUCGCAAGAUGCCUGCGGCGGCAGCAUAGGUCUCGUCGAGAACCUUGAAGAAGCAAGAACCGAGGAGGCUCCUGAUGGGCUCGGAGAGCGAAAAAACCAGAUUGAGGAGAGAAAGAGCGAUAGGCAAGCGAGGAAGUUGAGGGUUUCGCUAUUUGUGUUCGAACGGCAUAAUUCGAAUUCCUUUUUCUUUUUCCC
Molecule: long non-coding RNA, 6635 nt
Filed under: Musa acuminata (dwarf banana)
Lineage: Eukaryota; Viridiplantae; Streptophyta; Magnoliopsida; Zingiberales; Musaceae
Description: long non-coding RNA (MACU_LNC007569)
Source: RNAcentral